CCACUAUAACACUCAAAAGAAAUAACCCUUUUUUGAAAUUCCACCUCACUAUAAUAUCGCUCACUCUCUAUUUUCCUCACAGACUAUUUUCUUAUACUCUGUCUGUGAAACCUUUAUCUUUUUCUCUCUUUCUGUUGGUGUAUGGAAAUGAGAGUUGAAGCUCUCCUUUUAUAGCCAAAGCUUCAUUCGCUAAAGUCUACAAUAUUUGACAAUUUACAUACACUUUUCACAAUUCAACAAAAUUGGCUACCAACCCAAAGAAAUUCAACAAGGUUGGCUACCAAACCAAACUAAUUCAACAAAGUUAGCUACCUUCACAAUUCAACAAAAUUGGCUACCAACCCAAAGAAAUUCAACAAGGUUGGCUACCAAACCAAACCAAGUCAACAAGAUUGGUUAUAAAACCAAAGAAAACUUUUUAGGUACAUGCCUAAUACUUCUUCAAUGAGAUGGACAUCAUCAAAAUUCAUUCGCCUUAACCACAAAUUUUGGUUCAAACUCAGAAAAUGAUAUUCUUUCAAUAAAGAGCAGUUUACCUAGCUAACACCAAUAUAAAUUAGUUGGGUUAGUUUUGAAUAAAAUAAAAUAAAACCCUACCUA
This 600-nucleotide long non-coding RNA is filed under the name Nicotiana benthamiana. Its description in RNAcentral is "long non-coding RNA (NBEN_LNC017726)". The record is from RNAcentral. Lineage: Eukaryota; Viridiplantae; Streptophyta; Magnoliopsida; Solanales; Solanaceae.